UGCCACGAUUGAAUCCAGGAGGUCCCGAUGUUUACUCAGAUGCAGUCGCCGAGGCUCGUUGAUUGCUCGUUUGAUUAGGUACAAGCUUGCAACAGAAUCUGAUGCAAUAGUGAGCUUCUUAGUUGCAAAUUCUUUACCUUCGCCACCAAAUGCUGCGAGGGCAGCACGAAUUGCUGCCAGCUCAGCUCUCGUAAUAGUGUUAGUGCACCCAGCGCCAUUUGGAUCCACGUAGACAACGCGAGAAUCGCUGAACCAGGCGCAGGCGCCGGCAACCUGGACUUCUUUGCCAUUUUCAGUUUUGAUUUUGCUUACCGAACCAUCUGUCCAGACAGUGCCAUUCACGUCGUGGGCCAGAGCAUGGUGGGUCUGGAAUCGUGCGUUAGGAAAGCGUCGUGCUUCGUCAGCCAUGGCGUGUAUCGUCUUUGGGUUAGCGUGCUGGUAUUUGGCUUGCUUUAGAAGUGAGUUUGGGAGGGCCGGGCAGGUUGGGGCCGUGGCCGUGUGUGUCCAUGUGCGCGGGUCGCUGAUGUGCGUGGGUGUGUUCGCCCCCCGCUUCAGUGUGUCCACGAGCCGUUUCAGGCGGGGGGCAAAGCACUGGAGUCCGGCGGGGUUCCCAACAAUGACCAGUCGGAGCCCCUUCUGGCGUUCAGCCUGGGUGUUGGUGCCAAGUCCUGUGUCAAGGCCCGCGGUGCCCGCGGACCAGUUGGCCAGCUCGUGGCAAAGUGGGAGUUGAAGCCACUGCGUGUGGGGGAAAGUGGCCGCUUUGGGGAGCGCCAAUACAGUAAGGGUUGGUUCCUGUGAGUCACGCAUAGCCUCGGCGCAUGCGAGGGCCCACAUGAGCGCCUUCCGUGCAUCGUGGGGGGUAGAGGGGGGGUGGGCAUAUUGCAAGCCGGUCCAUGCGGUCUGGUAGGCAUCGUGCAGUGCGCCAAAGGCCCCAUCAGCAGGGUCUCGUGUCCAGUAUUCGUGGGCUGCAGUGGAGGAGUUUAGUGGGGACGCAAACAUUUCCCGAACGUGUACUGCUUGUGAGACCCGCAGGCAUUGGACGAUGGCAGCUACUGUGCCUGCCGGCAGCGACACCUGGUGCAUUGGCAUGGCCUUGCGGUCCUGCUGCGCCGGGUCAUAGCGGUAGCGCAUGAUGAGGGCAGCGACCGCUUCCUCAAAGGCGUUGGGCCGCUGGUUGCCGGUGUGCCUGAAGCGCUCCCACAGGGCAAGGAGGCGGGGGUAGGUGAUGGUGCCCAGCCAGCGGCCACUGGGUUCAUGGAUGUGCGCCUCAGCUGGGUCACGGCGGGUGCCACCAGUGGUGGUAAUAGUGUAUGCUCCGGGGGCCACGAUGUCCUUGUAGGGGUUGCACGGGCUUGUGGUGAUGGUGGUGGUCGUGCGGAUGUCACGCGCGCGGGAUGCGGUAUCCAGGGGCUCAGCGUCGUGGCGGCCUUGGCGCUGUCUGGCGGUAAGGUUCCGAUCAGGUGCGGGGCGCACUGUUCGGGGCCGCGGGCCUUGGUUGGUACCGUAUGCUCGCCGGGUUUUGCACUCCUCCAGUAGCUCCUCCCAUUGUGGACUGUGUUUUAGGUCCCGUUCACGGUCCGUGCUCGGCGCCCACGUGACAUGUCGCAGGAGUUUGGUCGUCCAGGACGAGAAUAGGGGGGCCCCAGUGGGCUGCGGUGCUGCCGGCUCUGCAGCUUGGGCAGGCUCUUCAGGUGCGAUUGCGUGGGCUUGGGUUUCAGCCGGAGGCUCAGCCUCGGUCUGUGCAGGUUGUGGGCAUGGGCGCGUCGCAAGUGGGUGCUUGUAGCACCUGGCGUUCUGGAUAGUUGCGUAGCCCAUGCGAACAAAAGCAGAGACAAUGCCGACAGGGCAAAUGGACGGCUUCCACUGCACCUUCCAGUAUUUCUCACGUGUCCCAGAGGUGUCCGCUCUGGCCUUGCGCUUCCGUGUCAGUUCUUUGUCCGUGUCAGUUUGUAUAUUUUCGCUGUGCAGGACCUGUGCCAGUUCCUGUCCGUCAUUGUCCAGGUCGUAGGUGAGUUGAGUGUCACCGUUAGUGCGGUUGUCGGUGGGCCGUGGGACUAGAUCGUGUGUGAUCCUGGCGCGGGCCAGUCGCCAGCUGGGACGGGCCCCGUGACCUCCCGCAGCUUGCACUGCCGGGGCGGUCAGGGGCGGCGCUGGGCUGUCGACGUCCA
RNAcentral lists this long non-coding RNA (2168 nucleotides) under Chlamydomonas reinhardtii. Its description in RNAcentral is "long non-coding RNA (CREI_LNC001219)". The record is from RNAcentral. Lineage: Eukaryota; Viridiplantae; Chlorophyta; Chlorophyceae; Chlamydomonadales; Chlamydomonadaceae.